This 978-nucleotide ribosomal RNA is filed under the name Triticum aestivum (bread wheat). RNAcentral describes it as "partial small subunit ribosomal RNA". Lineage: Eukaryota; Viridiplantae; Streptophyta; Magnoliopsida; Poales; Poaceae. The record is from RNAcentral.
AUGGCGAUUGAACCACUCCGUGACAAUCUGGAUGGCAUCGCAGCAACCGACCAACCAUACGAUGGUAAUUCCUCUUCCGAGAAGCAACUCACCGUGUACAACUACGACCUGAGUGAUCCACACUCGACAGUUCUUAACCCAGCCAACCAACCAAGCACAUAUCUGCUUGGUGGAGUCACUAGCAGCCUUGGACAAAACCAAGUUCCGAUUGCUGCAGGGGGUAGCCCUGAACACCGCCAGAUCAGAUCAAACGAUGCUCUUCACUACAUAAGCCAGAUGCUGAUGGAAGACGUCGACGAGAGGGUCGAUAUAUGCCAAGGGGAGGCUGCUCUCCAGGCUGCCGAGAAGCCAUUCCGUGACAUUCUUGGGGGGGUAUACGUGCCGGCUACUAAUUGGCCGCCAUUGCAUAGCAACAGCAAACCAGACAACUCUGAUAAGAGUGGGACCAGCCGUUACAAGAGGCUCAGGACCACUAGCUUCAGUAAUGACUAUUCCAGUUACAAUGUGUUACAGCCCUCAGCAACCCCGUUGAGUCCAUAUACCUGCAACAGGAGUCUUUUUCUACCAGACCAUCUAUUGGUAAGUGUUGGAUGGACUUCUGAAACUCUCUUCCCUGCCUUGCAUUGUCAGAGAGAUGUCGAGGAGGAAAAGAUGUUUGCUCCAAGUAUUUAUAAGCUGGUGAUAUAUUUAAAGAAUGACGUAUUUUAUACUUCCCAACUGACUACGAAGUUUAAAGUAGUAGAGAGGAGCGAAAAUGCAAUCUUUGAGGUGGCAGACCAAAGGAGCUGGGAUAUCUUUCAAGGAAGGAGCAAUAAACAUCAUGCCAUCACAAUUUGUGCUAUAAUUCGAAACGAAAAUUUUGACCGAGUUCUGCUAUGCUAUGGUCGGAAGAGUUUCGAUCGAAGAACAAGACUGCGAGAAAGAUGGCGGGGGAAGGAAACAAUAGCUCACAGAAAGGCCGGAGCGAAGGACGUCUGA